UACGAAGGGGGCUAGCGUUGCCGUCGGAAUGACUGGGCGUAAAGGGCGCGUAGGCGGAUGGCACAGUCAGAUGUGAAAUUCCCGGGCUUAACCUGGGGGCUGCAUUUGAUACGUGUGAUCUAGAGUGAGGAAGAGGGUCGUGGAAUUCCCAGUGUAGAGGUGAAAUUCGUAGAUAUCGGGAGGAACACCAGUGGCGAAGGCGGCGAUCUGGGAAGAUACUGACGCUGAGGUGCGAAAGCGUGGGGAGCAAACAGG
This 255-nucleotide ribosomal RNA is filed under the name uncultured bacterium. RNAcentral's name for it is "partial 16S ribosomal RNA". It matches the Rfam family "Bacterial small subunit ribosomal RNA", at positions 524 to 776 of the family's 1533-position model. The record is from RNAcentral.